This is a long non-coding RNA of Ipomoea nil (Japanese morning glory), 118 nucleotides long. RefSeq lists it as uncharacterized. The transcript has 2 exons. Lineage: Eukaryota; Viridiplantae; Streptophyta; Magnoliopsida; Solanales; Convolvulaceae. The record is from RefSeq and is a predicted model, not a curated record.
UGAAUGCAAUUUCUGUUGAUAUAAGUGAUGUAAAACUUAUCUUCUUCAACAUCUUGCGUCAUGACCAUUACUUCCUCAUGUGCUUCAAUUUCUUAAAUUCAAAGCUUCAAGUGAUUGA